AGUGAACGCUGGCGGCGUGCUUAACACAUGCAAGUCGAACGAGAACGGGUUAUAGCUUGCUAUAAUUGUCAGCUAAGUGGCGCACGGGUGAGUAAUGUAUAGGUAAUAUGCCUCUUACUAAGGGAUAACAAAUGGAAACGUUUGCUAAUACCUUAUACUCCUUAUUAACAUAAGUUAAUAAGGGAAAGAUUUAUUGGUAAGAGAUUAGCCUGUAUUGUAUCAGUUAGUUGGUGGGGUAAUGGCUUACCAAGACUAUGACACAUAACUGGUUUGAGAGGAUGCUCAGUCACACUGGAACUGAGACACGGUACAGACUCCUACGGGAGGGAGCAGUGGGGAAUAUUGCACAAUGGACGAAAGUCUGAUGCAGCAACGCCGCGUGGAGGAUGACACAUUUCGGUGCGUAAACUCCUUUUAUAUGAGAAGAUAAUGACGGUAUUAUAUGAAUAAGCACCGGCUAACUCCGUGCCAGCCGCCGCCGUAA
This 484-nucleotide ribosomal RNA is filed under the name uncultured bacterium. Its description in RNAcentral is "partial 16S ribosomal RNA". It matches the Rfam family "Bacterial small subunit ribosomal RNA", at positions 29 to 523 of the family's 1533-position model. The record is from RNAcentral.